UAAUACGGAGGAUCCAAGCGUUAUCCGGAUUUAUUGGGUUUAAAGGGUGCGUAGGCGGCUUAUUAAGUCAGGGGUGAAAGACGGUGGCUCAACCAUCGCAGUGCCCUUGAUACUGAUGAGCUUGAAUGAACUAGAGGUAGGCGGAAUGUGACAAGUAGCGGUGAAAUGCAUAGAUAUGUCACAGAACACCGAUUGCGAAGGCAGCUUACUAUGGUUUUAUUGACGCUGAGGCACGAAAGCGUGGGGAUCAAACAGGAUUAGAUACCCUGGUAGUCCACGCCCUAAACGAUGAAUACUCGCUGUUAGCGAUAUACAGUUAGCGGCUAAGCGAAAGCGUUAAGUAUUCCACCUGGGGAGUACGCCCGCAAGGGUG
This 373-nucleotide ribosomal RNA is filed under the name uncultured bacterium. Its description in RNAcentral is "bacterial SSU rRNA". It matches the Rfam family "Bacterial small subunit ribosomal RNA", at positions 521 to 896 of the family's 1533-position model. The record is from RNAcentral.